RNAcentral lists this unclassified non-coding RNA (294 nucleotides) under Lecanicillium sp. Its description in RNAcentral is "partial contains 5.8S ribosomal RNA, internal transcribed spacer 2, and large subunit ribosomal RNA". The stretch from base 1 to 71 matches the Rfam family "5.8S ribosomal RNA", at positions 84 to 154 of the family's 154-position model. Lineage: Eukaryota; Fungi; Ascomycota; Sordariomycetes; Hypocreales; Cordycipitaceae. The record is from RNAcentral.
GUGAAUCAUCGAAUCUUUGAACGCACAUUGCGCCCGGGAGCAUUCUCCCGGGCAUGCCUGUUCGAGCGUCAUUUCAACCCUCGACCUCCCCCCGGGGAGGUCGGCCGUUGGAGAUCGGCAGCGGCUGCCGGCUCCCAAAUCCAGUGGCGACGCGCCGCGGGGACCCCUGCGCAGUAACUAACACUCGCACCGGAAACCAGACGUGUCACGCCGUGAAACCCCCGACUUUCUGAACGUUGACCUCGGAUCAGGUAGGAAUACCCGCUGAACUUAAGCAUAUCAAUAAGCGGAGGA